AUGGCUCAGAUUGAACGCUAGCGGGAUGCCUUACACAUGCAAGUCGAACGGCAGCACGGACUUCGGUCUGGUGGCGAGUGGCGAACGGGUGAGUAAUGUAUCGGAACGUGCCUAGUAGCGGGGGAUAACUACGCGAAAGCGUAGCUAAUACCGCAUACGCCCUACGGGGGAAAGCAGGGGAUCGCAAGACCUUGCACUAUUAGAGCGGCCGAUAUCGGAUUAGCUAGUUGGUGGGGUAACGGCUCACCAAGGCGACGAUCCGUAGCUGGUUUGAGAGGACGACCAGCCACACUGGGACUGAGACACGGCCCAGACUCCUACGGGAGGCAGCAGUGGGGAAUUUUGGACAAUGGGGGAAACCCUGAUCCAGCCAUCCCGCGUGUGCGAUGAAGGCCUUCGGGUUGUAAAGCACUUUUGGCAGGAAAGAAACGUCAUGGGUUAAUACCCCGUGAAACUGACGGUACCUGCAGAAUAAGCACCGGCUAACUACGUGCCAGCAGCCGCGGUAAUACGUAGGGUGCAAGCGUUAAUCGGAAUUACUGGGCGUAAAGCGUGCGCAGGCGGUUCGGAAAGAAAGAUGUGAAAUCCCAGAGCUUAACUUUGGAACUGCAUUUUUAACUACCGAGCUAGAGUGUGUCAGAGGGAGGUGGAAUUCCGCGUGUAGCAGUGAAAUGCGUAGAUAUGCGGAGGAACCACCGAUGGCGAAGGCAGCCUCCCUGGGAUAAC
RNAcentral lists this ribosomal RNA (726 nucleotides) under Achromobacter sp. 110602_136_C_E7. Its description in RNAcentral is "bacterial SSU rRNA". It matches the Rfam family "Bacterial small subunit ribosomal RNA", at positions 19 to 740 of the family's 1533-position model. Lineage: Bacteria; Pseudomonadati; Pseudomonadota; Betaproteobacteria; Burkholderiales; Alcaligenaceae. The record is from RNAcentral.